ACUUAUGAUGAUCGCUUUAACCUGAAA
This 27-nucleotide non-coding RNA is filed under the name Cricetulus griseus (Chinese hamster). The record is from RNAcentral. Lineage: Eukaryota; Metazoa; Chordata; Mammalia; Rodentia; Cricetidae.